CUCUGUACGGGAAGGAUGAGAAGCUUCGACCAAGGUUCGAUUCGAGCGCAGCGAGAAAGCGUUGCCGCAGGCAACGACCCGAAGGGCGAAGCGCGCAGCGCUGAGUCAUCCUUCCCCCACCACCA
Molecule: small RNA, 125 nt
Filed under: Salmonella enterica subsp. enterica serovar Heidelberg
Lineage: Bacteria; Pseudomonadati; Pseudomonadota; Gammaproteobacteria; Enterobacterales; Enterobacteriaceae
Also listed under: 6 other names
Description: partial RtT sRNA
Rfam family: RtT RNA
About the family: This family represents a bacterial cis-regulatory element known as RtT RNA. The exact function of RtT is unknown although it is thought that it may be involved in changing the cellular response in relation to amino acid starvation.
Source: RNAcentral